Molecule: ribosomal RNA, 490 nt
Filed under: uncultured Acidobacteriota bacterium
Lineage: Bacteria; Pseudomonadati; Acidobacteriota
Description: bacterial SSU rRNA
Rfam family: Bacterial small subunit ribosomal RNA
Source: RNAcentral
UCGGGAAUUUUGGGCAAUGGGCGAAAGCCUGACCCAGCAACGCCGCGUGAAGGAUGAAGUAUUUCGGUAUGUAAACUUCGAAAGAAUGGGAAGAAUAAAUGACGGUACCAUUUAUAAGCUCCGGCUAACUACGUGCCAGCAGCCGCGGUAAUACGUAGGGAGCAAGCGUUGUUCGGAUUUACUGGGCGUAAAGGGCGCGUAGGCGGCGCGGUAAGUCACUUGUGAAAUCUCUGAGCUUAACUCAGAACGGCCAAGUGAUACUGCAGUGCUAGAGUGCAGAAAGGGCAAUCGGAAUUCUUGGUGUAGCGGUGAAAUGCGUAGAUAUCAAGAGGAACACCUGAGGCGAAGGCGGGUUGCUAGGCUGACACUGACGCUGAGGCGCGAAAGCCAGGGGAGCAAACGGGAUUAGAUACCCCGGUAGUCCUGGCCCUAAACGAUGAAUACUUGGUGUCUGGAGUCAUUAAUGCUCCGGGUGCCGUCGCUAACGUUU